RNAcentral lists this ribosomal RNA (567 nucleotides) under uncultured Glomus. Its description in RNAcentral is "SSU rRNA". It matches the Rfam family "Eukaryotic small subunit ribosomal RNA", at positions 546 to 1106 of the family's 1831-position model. The record is from RNAcentral. Lineage: Eukaryota; Fungi; Glomeromycota; Glomeromycetes; Glomerales; Glomeraceae.
AAUUGGAGGGCAAGUCUGGUGCCAGCAGCCGCGGUAAUUCCAGCUCCAAUAGCGUAUAUUAAAGUUGUUGCAGUUAAAAAGCUCGUAGUUGAAUUUCGGGAUCGACGUGACGGUCGUGCCUCACGGGGCACGAACUGUCGCUGUCGAUUUCUCACCUUCUGGAGAAGCUCGAUGUCCUUAAUUGGGUGUCUUGCGGAACCAGGACCUUUACCUUGAAAAAAUUAGAGUGUUUAAAGCAGGCAUUUUUUGCUCGAAUACAUUAGCAUGGAAUAAUAGAAUAGGACGGCAUGGUUCUAUUUUGUUGGUUUCUAGGAUCACCGUAAUGAUUAAUAGGGAUAGUUGGGGGCAUUAGUAUUCAAUUGUCAGAGGUGAAAUUCUUGGAUUUAUUGAAGACUAACUACUGCGAAAGCAUUUGCCAAGGAUGUUUUCAUUAAUCAAGAACGAAAGUUAGGGGAUCGAAGACGAUCAGAUACCGUCGUAGUCUUAACCAUAAACUAUGCCGACUAGGAAUCAGACGAUGUUAAUUUUUUAAUGACUCGUUUGGCACCUUACGGGAAACCAAAGUGU